GGGGGCCUGCGGAGGGAUCAUUG
Molecule: ribosomal RNA, 23 nt
Filed under: Cytospora carbonacea
Lineage: Eukaryota; Fungi; Ascomycota; Sordariomycetes; Diaporthales; Cytosporaceae
Also listed under: 1 other name
Description: partial 18S ribosomal RNA
Source: RNAcentral